RNAcentral lists this unclassified non-coding RNA (550 nucleotides) under Hevea brasiliensis (rubber tree). The record is from RNAcentral. Lineage: Eukaryota; Viridiplantae; Streptophyta; Magnoliopsida; Malpighiales; Euphorbiaceae.
AGGGAGUCACCCACGUCUUCGCCUACCCCGGCGGCGCCUCCAUGGAGAUCCACCAAGCCCUCACCCGCUCCCCCACCAUCACCAACCACCUCCUCCGCCACGAGCAGGGUGAGAUCUUCGCCGCCGAGGCCUUCGCCCGCUCCACCGGUCUCCCCGGCGUCUGCAUCGCCACCUCCGGCCCCGGCGCCACAAACCUCGUCAGCGGUCUCGCCGACGCCCUCCUCGACUCCGUCCCCCUCGUCGCCAUCACCGGCCAGGUUCCCCGCCGCAUGAUCGGCACCGACGCCUUCCAGGAAACCCCCAUUGUCGAGGUAACUCGCUCCAUCACUAAACACAAUUACCUAGUUCUAGAUGUAGACGAUAUCCCGCGAGUCAUCCGUGAGGCUUUCUUUCUUGCAACAUCCGGCCGCCCUGGCCCCGUCCUCGUCGACAUCCCGAAAGACGUACAGCAACAGCUCACCGUCCCAAAGUGGAACACCCCAAUUCGCCUCGCAGGAUACAUCUCUCGCCUUCCGAAACCGCCCACUCAGGCACACCUAGAGCAAAUACU